GUAUACUUCAAGGCUCUUCUCUGUUCUGCCACUGAGGUGGUGGAAUGAACGUCCCCUAGAUGUCCAUACAGCGAAGUCCCUGGCUAUCAUCAAGCUACAAAUGAAGACCUUCCUCUUCCUGAACCACCUAAAUUAGCACUUUUCAAGUUUGCUUUUGUAGCAGAAUGGUCUGAUGUCAUCUAGUCAGCUGAGGCUGAUUAUGCUCAUUUACCUGCCUAUGAAGUCGUUUCGGUUUGUGUUGUGGGUGCGUUUGCUCUUUGUCCGCGAGCGAGCCACCGUACCUCCGGGUUUAUGUGCGAAUAGUGGCAAGGGUGGACUGAGGAGCUUUGUGGGGAAGCCGCUAAGUGUUUAGGAAGACGUGCUUAAUAAAUGUCUGUAUCCGUGCCUCGUGAGUCGUCGUACAGGUGCGGGUCAAUGUGCGAGGGACGUUACAGUGGGCUGCUGUAGUGGGCUGCUAUAGUGGGCUUUUCGCUUGCUGUGUGGCUUUCCUGCGCUAUGUGCAUCAUUUACACCGCUUUGAUGUUGGCUUGAUGUUGGCUUUAGCUGGGCAUUGUUAAUUUACGUUCCUGUUCUCUGGAGCUCCGUGUUACUUCCGUUUGGCACCAGCUGAUUGACAUUUUGCUGCUCUUGUAUGCUAACAGUUUCUUGUUGCAGCAUUUAACUACAUGCAGGAUCAGCUGGACCGGGGGCAUGGUGCUUAUUUCCAACGGUAGUGUGAGUAAUUGAUUUAGAAGUGGCGUGUUACAGGGUAGUCAUUACCUGAUUCUGAUUUAAUCAUUUAUUUUUGCAUUAGCUUUAUUCUUUUGUUUAUUAUUUUCCUAACCUUUUCGGGUUGAGGUUUCACUACUUUAAUGGGAAUCCAUUUCUUUUGAUUUAUAUUCUUUUUAUUAGUUUGAAUUUGUGGAAUAAUGUUCUUUUUGUUUUCUUAUUAAUUAAUGUAGUUAUUUUCUAAUUUCUUUUGUAUCUGUGAAGUGCCUUUGCUCUGUUCAUGUGCCUCUGUACGAAUCAAGUAACAAGCAGUUUUUGGGCUGUUGACUGUGUCGAGAGCCAGGCUGUUGUAAUGCGAUGCUUGUUUUAAUUUGUGUUUUAAAUUACUUUUCUGUCUUUUCUUUUGCCUUCAGAAGUGGGGUGGCCAGUGGCAGCAGAUUAGCAUCUUGUGGUGGUGGGUUCCUUACCUGAUUGCAGUGCAGUGUUCACAGAGUGGGGUGGCCAGUGGCAGCAGAUUAGCAUCUUGUGGUGGUGGGUUCCUUACCUGAUUGCAGUGCAGUGUUCACAGUGAGGUGUGGUGUGCUGUGGUGCUUGUGUGCACGUGUGAGUGUUCUCUCUGCUUAGAACCCUGUGUGCUCUCUGCUUAGGACAUCAAGCCUUCUCCCACCCUGAAGUGUUUGUCUUCUUUUCUGUUUUUACUAUUGGAUGUAGUGAAUAAAAGUCGAAUUCAUUUUAAAUAACUUUUUUGUUAUUCAGUCAA
This is a long non-coding RNA of Silurus meridionalis, 1468 nucleotides long. RefSeq lists it as uncharacterized. The record is from RefSeq and is a predicted model, not a curated record. The transcript is spliced from 2 exons. Lineage: Eukaryota; Metazoa; Chordata; Actinopteri; Siluriformes; Siluridae.